Long non-coding RNA from Nematostella vectensis (starlet sea anemone), 415 nucleotides. RefSeq lists it as uncharacterized. The transcript is spliced from 3 exons. NCBI's taxonomy places the organism in Eukaryota, Metazoa, Cnidaria, Anthozoa, Actiniaria, Edwardsiidae. The record is from RefSeq and is a predicted model, not a curated record.
UCUGAGGGGAGAUCAGUGGCAGAGUUACCAAGACGAGAAUGGCGUGAUUAAGGUAAGGACACGUGUACACUGUGGAAUACAGUCUGAGGGGAGAUCAGUGGCAAAGUUACCAAGACGAGAAUGGCGUUAUUAAGGUAAGGACUCGUGUACACUGUGGAAUACAGUCUGAGGGGAGAUCAGUGGCAAAGUUACCAAGACGAGAAUGGCGUGAUUAAGGUAAGGACACGUGACUGACCAGUGUGGAAUACAGUCUGAGGGGAGAUCAGUGGCAGAGUUACCAAGACGAGAAUGGCGUGAUUAAGGUAAGGACACGUGUACAGUGUUAAGUACAGUCUGACGGGGGAUCAGUGGCAGAGUUACCAAGACGAGAAUGGCGUGAUUAAGGUAAGGACACGUGACUGACCAGUGUGGAAUA